RNAcentral lists this ribosomal RNA (464 nucleotides) under uncultured bacterium. RNAcentral's name for it is "partial 16S ribosomal RNA". It matches the Rfam family "Bacterial small subunit ribosomal RNA", at positions 28 to 507 of the family's 1533-position model. The record is from RNAcentral.
GACGAACGCUGGCGGCGUGCUUAACACAUGCAAGUCGAACGGAAAGGCCCCUUUGGGGGUCCUCGAGUGGCGAACGGGUGAGUAACACGUGAGUAACCUGCCCUUGACUUCGGGAUAACUUCAGGAAACUGGGGCUAAUACCGGAUAGGAAUCCUUGCUGCAUGGUGGGGGUUGGAAAGCUUCGGCGGUUUUGGAUGGACUCGCGGCCUAUCAGCUUGUUGGUGGGGUAGUGGCUUACCAAGGCUUUGACGGGUAGCCGGCCUGAGAGGGCGACCGGCCACAUUGGGACUGAGAUACGGCCCAGACUCCUACGGGAGGCAGCAGUGGGGAAUAUUGCACAAUGGGCGGAGGCCUGAUGCAGCAACGCCGCGUGCGGGAUGACGGCCUUCGGGUUGUAAACCGCUUUCAGCAGGGGCGAAGCUUUUGUGACGGUACCUGCAGAAGAAGCACCGGCUAACUACGUG